CCUACGGGCGGCAGCAGUGGGGAAUAUUGCACAAUGGGGGAAACCCUGAUGCAGCGACGCCGCGUGAGGGAAGAAGUAUUUCGGUAGGUAAAGCUCUAUCAGCAGGGAAGAAAAUGACGGUACCUGACUAAGAAGCCCCGGCUAACUACGUGCCAGCAGCCGCGGUAAUACUUAGGGGGCAAGCGUUAUCCGGAUUUACUGGGUGUAAAGGGGGCGUAGACGGUAGCGCAAGUCUGGAGUGAAAUCCCAUGGCUUAACCAGGGAACUGCUUUGGAAACUGUGCAGCUGGAGUGCAGGAGAGGUAAGCGGAAUUCCUAGUGUAGCGGUGAAAUGCGUAGAUAUUAGGAGGAACACCAGUGGCGAAGGCGGCUUACUGGACUGUAACUGACGUUGAGGCUCGAAAGCGUGGGGAGCAAACAGGAUUAGAUACCCGUGUAGUC
RNAcentral lists this ribosomal RNA (440 nucleotides) under uncultured bacterium. RNAcentral's name for it is "partial 16S ribosomal RNA". It matches the Rfam family "Bacterial small subunit ribosomal RNA", at positions 338 to 795 of the family's 1533-position model. The record is from RNAcentral.